UGGGCACUUUAAGUAAUGUAAAUAAGUAUAUAGACUACAGUUUUCACAGCCUGAAAUGUAGCUACUCUGUAAACUGGAACAUGAAGUAGGUAUUUUUCUUAGUACAGCCAUUGCUUAACAAGUCUUAAGACAUACACAGCACACACAGCCCAGCCUCUGAUUGUGGUUAGCUGGGGAGGCAAAAUAGAUUUGUGUGGAUGGUGCAACUACAUGUCGGCCACCCCCAUGUAUAGGCAUCACUAGUUGGUAAGCCAGGGUUUCGUGUUUCUCAAGAUUUAUUUGCUUCAAAUGAAAGAACAUGCUCUUAUUGCCUCCACCUUUCAGAGAUUAAACAGUGUCAUAUUCAAUCACAUGCUUUCCUGUAGCUUCACUGAUUAUGCCCAUCACUGGCGCACAGUCAAAGUCAAUCAGAUUUGCGUCAUUGGGCAGGUUUUCUCAGAUUGUUCCAUACAAAAGGGCGCCAGAAUCAAUGUGUACAUGGGUGUUUGUUUAGGUAGUCAAUAGGGAAUGGGAAAUGAAUCAGGUCAGUGUAGGCUACUGUCUGUUUGCACAGCAAGCAUAUUUAAUUGUCCUUGUAAUGACAGUAAAAUUAAAAAUACCUUUAUUUUCCUGUGUGUGGCAGUCCAUCACCCACUGGGGGAUUCCCAGUUACCACCGAUGAAACUGAAGCAUUAAGCUGAGAGGCUCUGAGACCAUCAUCCCUCUUCAUACUGUACUGAGACACCAGUGGGUGUUUUCAGAGUAACUGCUCCGUGUUGAAAUGGGUUUCAGGGCUGUACUUCCUCAGCCCUGUGUGGUUUGUGGUGGGCAUUUACUGGCAGCGUGACACUAUGGCGUCAUACGUUUACUCAGGUAGACCUACCUAUUGCUCGGACAUCGUUGUGCUGAUCUUAUAAAUAUAUAUUCCACGACAUGGGUGAUGUGGAGCUGUGACGUGUACCAGGAUGGCCGAGUGGUUAAGGCGUUGGACUUAAGAUCCAAUGGACGUAGUCCUCGUGGGUUCGAACCCCACUCCUGGUAAUCAAACAGAGUUUUAACCUAAUGACUUGUACGAUAAGAGUAGAAUACAUAAAUAGUAUGAGGAAUUCAUAUGUAAUUUACGUUUAUGUAGACAAAUUGACCCUUCCGCUGCCUGCCAAAAGCUUUGAUGUGGCAGGUGAUAUGUGAUUAUACAUUUUUGUGUUUUGUGUUUACAUGUAGCACAGUCACAGUAGCUGGGGACGAUUUUCAGGCUCGUUUUGUGGUUCUAAAAGUUGCGAAGAGAUCACGCACCUGCAGACAAUUAACAAAGUAAUGGACGUUCGGAAACACAAAUACUCCAACUCAGCUGACAAACCAGGUCCCUGACCCCCUGAUUCAUGAGGCCACCUCUGAGAUGUGGUGAAUGUUGGACAGGGUGAGCUGCGCCUCCCGCGCUGGGUAGAAACGUCUGGAGCGAAGCCACAGCCUCCCAAACACUCCAGUGAUCAGCAGCAAGACAAUCAGCAGCCCUCCGAGGACAAAGGUCUCCACAGGAGGGACUCCGCCUGCAUCUACGUAGAAAAGGACACAGGAUAUACCUGUCUCGGAUGAAGGUGUACUGAAUAUUGCUGUAUGGAUCACUGGUUGGUGUAGCCCAGCAUCUCUCCAUACGCAGCAUCAGUUGAGCCGGUAUCUGUGAUACAUACAUGGUUGGAGGGACAGUCAAGUCAUUCCGUACACAAGUAAAGUUAAGUAACUCCGUGCUUCUUACUUGGUUUGGCCAAUUCGGUGCACUCUGCCUAUGGCCUGGAGCUCGUGAGCCGGGUUGAGGAUCGGCUCCACCAGCAACACGUGA
Sander lucioperca (pikeperch) is the source of this 1816-nucleotide long non-coding RNA. RefSeq lists it as uncharacterized. The record is from RefSeq and is a predicted model, not a curated record. The transcript has 5 exons. NCBI's taxonomy places the organism in Eukaryota, Metazoa, Chordata, Actinopteri, Perciformes, Percidae.